RNAcentral lists this ribosomal RNA (464 nucleotides) under uncultured bacterium. RNAcentral describes it as "partial 16S ribosomal RNA". It matches the Rfam family "Bacterial small subunit ribosomal RNA", at positions 339 to 795 of the family's 1533-position model. The record is from RNAcentral.
CUACGGGACGCAGCAGUGGGGAAUAUUGGACAAUGGGGGAAACCCUGAUCCAGCAAUGCCGCGUGUGUGAAGAAGGCCUGCGGGUUGUAAAGCACUUUCGGUUGGGAGGACUGCUUCUAGCACUAAUAUUGUUGGAAGUUGACGUUACCUUCAGAAGAAGCACCGGCUAACUCCGUGCCAGCAGCCGCGGUAAUACGGAGGGUGCAAGCUGAAUCGGAAUUACUGGGCGUAAAGCGCGCGUAGGCGGCUAGAUCAGUCGGGUGUGAAAGCCCCGGGCUUAACCUGGGAACUGCAUCCGAUACUGUCUAGCUUGAGUACAGGAGAGGAGAGUGGAAUUCCACAUGUAGCGGUGAAAUGCGUAGAUAUGUGGAGGAACACCAAUGGCGAAGGCAGCUCUCUGGCCUGAUACUGACGCUGAGGUGCGAAAGCGUGGGGAGCAAACAGGAUUAGAUACCCUAGUAGUC